RNAcentral lists this ribosomal RNA (777 nucleotides) under uncultured bacterium. RNAcentral's name for it is "bacterial SSU rRNA". It matches the Rfam family "Bacterial small subunit ribosomal RNA", at positions 200 to 973 of the family's 1533-position model. The record is from RNAcentral.
CCGCAAGGCCUCACGCGAUUGGGUUGGNNGAUGUCCGAUUAGCUAGUUGGCGGGGUAAAAGCCCACCAAGGCGACGAUCCGUAGCUGAUCUGAGAGGACGACCAGCCACACUGGAACUGAGACACGGUCCAGACUCCUACGGGAGGCAGCAGUGGGGAAUUUUGGACAAUGGGGGCAACCCUGAUCCAGCCAUGCCGCGUGAGUGAAGAAGGCCUUCGGGUUGUAAAGCUCUUUCGGCGGGGACGAAACGGUUCGUGACAACACCACGGACUAAUGACGGUACCCGCAUAAGAAGCACCGGCUAACUACGUGCCAGCAGCCGCGGUAAUACGUAGGGUGCGGGCGUUAAUCGGAAUUACUGGGCGUAAAGCGUGCGCAGGCGGCCUCUUAAGUCAGAUGUGAAAUCCCCGGGCUUAACCUGGGAACUGCGUUUGAAACUGGGAGGCUAGAGUGUGGAAGAGGGGGGUGGAAUUCCAGGUGUAGCAGUGAAAUGCGUAGAGAUCUGGAGGAACACCGAUGGCGAAGGCAGCCCCCUGGGCUGACACUGACGCUCAUGCACGAAAGCGUGGGGAGCAAACAGGAUUAGAUACCCUGGUAGUCCACGCCCUAAACGAUGUCAACUGGUUGUCGGGGAAGUUAUUCCUUGGUAACGAAGCUAACGCGUGAAGUUGACCGCCUGGGGAGUACGGCCGCAAGGUUAAAACUCAAAGGAAUUGACGGGGACCCGCACAAGCGGUGGAUUAUGUGGAUUAAUUCGAUGCAACGCGAAAAACCUUA